AUAUAUAGUUUAUAAAAACGACAAUUUGUGGUAUUGUUAAUCUAAAAAUUAAA
RNAcentral lists this transfer RNA (53 nucleotides) under Tetragnatha sp. Rapa Nui. RNAcentral describes it as "tRNA-His". Lineage: Eukaryota; Metazoa; Arthropoda; Arachnida; Araneae; Tetragnathidae. The record is from RNAcentral.